AAGUCGUAACAAGGUAUCCGUUGGUGAACCAGCGGAUGGAUCAUUACCUGACCUGAAAAGGUAGCAAUUACUGUGUGGUUGAUGCCAACCUCUGGCGUGGCUGGUGAAUCAGUCUGCCAGUACUUGUAGUGUGCACACAGUUGCACGCUUGAUGAGUGAAGGAGUUGCUGGAGUGGCGAGAUGCCCCUCAAUUCCUGAAACGUGCCAUUGACUGACACUAAAGCAAUUGUCUCAAUCAAGUGACAACUGCUGGCCGUGGAUCACUUGGCUGACG
RNAcentral lists this unclassified non-coding RNA (274 nucleotides) under fungal sp. RNAcentral describes it as "partial internal transcribed spacer region". The stretch from base 1 to 46 matches the Rfam family "Eukaryotic small subunit ribosomal RNA", at positions 1786 to 1831 of the family's 1831-position model. The record is from RNAcentral. Lineage: Eukaryota; Fungi.